Molecule: long non-coding RNA, 583 nt
Organism: Rosa chinensis
Lineage: Eukaryota; Viridiplantae; Streptophyta; Magnoliopsida; Rosales; Rosaceae
Exons: 4
Source: RefSeq, a predicted model, not a curated record
UCGAGAGCUUAGAACUCUUCUCCACUCUCCAGAUCUUUUUAUGUUCUUCAUCUAAAUCCCCGAUCCCCCUCGAUCAGUCGAUCCCCAAUUCACUAACCCUAGUUCUAAGCUCUCUUCUCCACUCUCCAAAUCUUCUUCUACAUGUUCCUCAUCUAAAAUUCUAAAUCCCCGAUCCCAAAUUUCUUUCCAAUUUCCCUUCAUACAACAAGCAUGAUGAGAUGAGAGUGGAAGUAGCCUCAAGCCCUCAACUUACUUUAUUGUGAGGAUUUGAUUUUCAGCUUAAGCUUGUUCAAGCACCAUCCAAGACUCUAACUCUCUUAUCGAAGAGGAAGGUCAGAUAGCCGAAGGAGAAGCAUGUCACUCUUGGACAGUUGGACCUGCUGUUCGUGAUGGAGAGCAUGUUUUUGGUGUCGCUCACAUAAUUGCCUCAUUAAAUGAUACCUUCAUUCAUGUGACUGAUUUGUCUGGGAGGGAAACUCUUGUUCGCAUCACUGUUUCUCUAUUACCGACUUUAAAUGCUUGCUUAGAUCAUGAGAGCACUACCUCUUGUAGAAAUAUGCGUUCAACAAUCCCGAAAGCAAAG